ACGGUUCACUUCAGCUUCACACUCAUGCCUGCUCGGAGAUAAUUAAUAAAACCUUCCAGCUUUCUGAAUUGUGAAAGUGCAUACUCUCCUGCCAGUGGAAAUUUCCGAUUGUUACACAGUCUCACCCCAGAGAUGGACUUGCUUUACCUUCAUGAGAUCCAUAUUUCUGCGGGAAGCCUGGUGAGCAGAGGAGACUGAAGAUGGAGAGAGAGCCUGGACCUCAACAUGAGCAUUUGGAGCCAUUUGGCAGCAUUAGGCUGUGACCGCUUGGAGAACCGAAAGAAAAGAGAAAACAUUCCAAUGAAAGAGGAAACAGGAAAUUCCAACAGAUCAGCAACAGUUGGAGUGCUAACCUGUCAGUGGAAUGGAAAAAAGAAAAAAUGCUCUUGUUGACACAUCUUUUCCUUGUUUUUGACACAAAUUAGGUAACUCCCUGACUUACUGUCUCUUCACAAAAUUGGUGGGGGUGUGAAAAAUGUCUAUGCAGUAUAUAGAGAUAUUCAUAACAAAGACUUAUGCUAUGAAAAAUGUCCUUUGUUCACAAAAGAAAGAAUAACUCAUGCUCUACAUAAUUUGCACCUAUAUAUUUUGCUGUUGUAAAUCCUGGCUUGCUCACUAAGCUGAAGUUCAUUUUCUCACCGUGAUUCUUGAGCCCAAAACUCUGAUGAAUCAAAAGGAUCAAAUAUUGGGCUCCUACAUUUUAUGUGCAGUAGUUGUGCAGUUCACCUCACUGCGUCUGCAUUAAAGCCCCCACUUUAAUGAAAAGGAUUGUUUUUUAUUCUCAAAAGCAAUUUUGAAAUUCUGACUCAGAGACUUUUUAUUCCUGUCUUGUGUUUCCUGAAAGAAUAAUCCCAGAUACAAGGAUAAUUACCCUAUUUUUGAUUAUUUAAAAAUAUAUUCAAUAUUCA
Molecule: long non-coding RNA, 908 nt
Filed under: Theropithecus gelada (gelada)
Lineage: Eukaryota; Metazoa; Chordata; Mammalia; Primates; Cercopithecidae
Description: lncRNA (ENSTGEG00000026288.1)
Source: RNAcentral